RNAcentral lists this ribosomal RNA (253 nucleotides) under uncultured bacterium. RNAcentral's name for it is "partial 16S ribosomal RNA". It matches the Rfam family "Bacterial small subunit ribosomal RNA", at positions 524 to 776 of the family's 1533-position model. The record is from RNAcentral.
UACGGGGGGAGCAAGCGUUGUUCGGAUUUAUUGGGCGUAAAGAGCGUGUAGGCGGUUUGGUAGGUCCGCUGUGAAAACUCGAGGCUCAACCUCGAGAUGUCGACCGAAACCAUCUGGCUAGAGUCCGGAAGAGGAGAAUGGAAUUCCCGGUGUAGCGGUGAAAUGCGCAGAUAUCAGGAGGAACACCGGUGGCGAAGGCGGAUCUCUGGGCCUUACCUGACGCUCAGGUGCGAAAGCUAGGGGAGCGAACAGG